AACCUAGCACACCUGCGGUGUGUACCUGCGGAGGGAUCAUUACCUAUUUGGCCUUUGUGGCUACGCUCGGGGGGCCUUUGGUCCCCGUCUGCACCCUUGUCUUUGCGCACUCAUGUUUCCUCGGUGGGCUUGCCUGCCGCUAGGACAACCUAAACUCUUGAAUUUUCAAUCAGCGUCUGAUAACAAUAAUAUUUACAACUUUUAACAAUGGAUCU
This 215-nucleotide unclassified non-coding RNA is filed under the name soil metagenome. RNAcentral describes it as "partial contains 5.8S ribosomal RNA, internal transcribed spacer 2, and large subunit ribosomal RNA". The record is from RNAcentral.